AUUGAACGCUGGCGGAAUGCUUUACACAUGCAAGUCGAACGGCAGCACGGACUUCGGUCUGGUGGCGAGUGGCGAACGGGUGAGUAACAUAUCGGAACGUAUCCAAUAAUGGGGGAUAACUAAUCGAAAGGUUGGCUAAUACCGCAUACGCCCUACGGCGGAAAGCUAGGGACUUUCGGGCCUGGCGCUAAUGGAGCGGCCGAUAUCUGAUUAGCUAGUUGGUGGGGUGAAGGCCCACCAAGGCGACGAUCAGUAGGUGGUCUGAGAGGACGAACAGCCACGCUGGAACGGAGACACGGUCCAGACUACUACGGGAGGCAGCAGUGGGGAAUUUUGGACAAUGGGCGCAAGCCUGAUCCAGCCAUUCCGCGUGAGUGAAGAAGGCCUUCGGGUUGUAAAGCUCUUUCGCAAGGGAAGAAAACUUAGCCUCUAACAUAGGCUGAGGUUGACGGUACCCUGAUAAGAAGCACCGGCUAACUACGUGCCAGCCGCCGCCGUAA
RNAcentral lists this ribosomal RNA (500 nucleotides) under uncultured bacterium. RNAcentral describes it as "partial 16S ribosomal RNA". It matches the Rfam family "Bacterial small subunit ribosomal RNA", at positions 30 to 523 of the family's 1533-position model. The record is from RNAcentral.